CCUUUCAUGACCAAGGAAGGAGGCAGCAACGUUUUUACAGUCCUGCGAAGCGCCUGUUACUAGAAAUUAUUUUCACUCUGUUCCUGAAAAGUAUGCCAAGUUCACUGGAGUCUCAACUGGGGCAUCUCUGAACUGGAGACUCGGGACUGGUGACUGAAAUUAUUUAGAAAAGACUAAUUAGGCGUGUGAGUAAUCUGAGUUUGAAGUUUGUGAAGUGCUGUGAAACUGUCCUGUGGCCAGUGAGAAGGGUGCUUUCCUAGCAUCAGAGCGAGGGUACGUGUUGUACAUUGUGGGAUGCAGUAGGGACUGAGGGCACAGCCAGCUUGGGUGGUUUGGAAGAGCACAUCUGGUGAAGUCAAGCAAGAUGUGACCUUGGGAGUGGUGCUUGGUGCUGUUCCUGCAGCAGUGGGAAGCCAUUGCUCUCAGGAGGAUUUGUGGAACAGGGGGAGGCAAUGAGGAGGUGUGGGAGCAGCAGUGGGGACCUGAGCUUGCUCCCAGCCUGCCACGGUAACAUCGUGCCUGGAGGGAUCCUGAACAUCUCCCUGCUGCUGGUGCCACCUCGGGUGUGGUAAAGCCCAGGGUCCUGGUUUCACCUGCCAGAGUUACACAGGUGUUUUCACUGCAGAAUAAAUGCAGCACUGUUAAAGAAAUGCCAGGCUUUUCCUGCGUUAUUUCCACAAAGUCAUGAGUUAAAAUCAUGGUCGUAUUGAAACUAAAAGCUCGCCCAAUUCUGUUAAUUCAAGUUUUUGUCCCUGGGCUGGACAAGGCACUGUGAAGGUACUAACCACUGCUGCUCUUCUCACAGGCCACUGUGUCACCUUUCAGCCUUACCAGUGGCCUCUUCUGGGUUCACUUCAAAUCUUUCUCCAACAAAUACGGCCAUAUAAAGUCAGUGAAUUGUAACCCCAUGCAGCCAACACACAGCAUGUUUCUUUCGUGAAUUUUAUUUGCUCUGUGCUUCUACUCUGAAUAGCAAAUCCUUUUUUCUGAAUCUGGUUCUAAAUAUUGUGGAGUUUGCUG
Molecule: long non-coding RNA, 1020 nt
Organism: Cinclus cinclus
Lineage: Eukaryota; Metazoa; Chordata; Aves; Passeriformes; Cinclidae
Exons: 3
Source: RefSeq, a predicted model, not a curated record